Molecule: long non-coding RNA, 446 nt
Organism: Spea bombifrons (plains spadefoot toad)
Lineage: Eukaryota; Metazoa; Chordata; Amphibia; Anura; Pelobatidae
Exons: 4
Source: RefSeq, a predicted model, not a curated record
AUACUCUGCACAUUCACAAAGAUGUCCCGGUUCAGGAAUCAUUACCAACCUCUGUCCUACAUGAUACCAGCUGGGACUAUCCUGCUAACCCACCUGGUCAUACCGCAUCCCUCUGCUCAGAGACCCCCAAAGUACCGAAGCUGAUCCAGUUUACCGGAUCCAUCCGCAGCUCCCAUGUCCACUACAGAGCAGCCGUCUGCAGUAAGAGUAAAGUCAGCCCUGAUCUCCAGCCCAAGCCGUCCGUGUGCUCCGUACCUUCUGUCCUGCAUGAUGACUCCGUGGACUUCACAACUCGUUCGAUCCUCUGUCUAUCCGAUGCCGUUCUGUCUGUAACGUUCUCCUGCUCUGGAAAGCCGAGCCUCAGCGUGGUCAGGUCUUGUCUGAAGAUGAGAAGGAGCCGGCCGCUCGUAAUCUCUUUGGGAAUGGAAACAAAACCACAUUAACAG